UCAGGUACUGAGUGACUCUGA
This 21-nucleotide microRNA is filed under the name Dinoponera quadriceps. RNAcentral describes it as "dqu-miR-306-5p". Its record names the gene dqu-miR-306-5p. Lineage: Eukaryota; Metazoa; Arthropoda; Insecta; Hymenoptera; Formicidae. The record is from miRBase by way of RNAcentral.